GAUGAACGCGGGCGGCGUGCCUAAUACACGCAAGUCGAACGCUGGAGAUCUAGCUUGCUAGAUCGAAGGAGUGGCGAACGGGUGAGUAAUGCAUAAGCAACCUACCCACGAAGACUGGGAUAAUCUCUGGAAACGGGGACUAAUACCGGAUAGGUAAUCGGAAGGCAUCUUCUGGUUAUUAAAGGUUAAAAACACUGGUGGAUGGGCUUAUGGCGCAUUAGUUAGUUGGUGAGGUAACGGCCCACCAAGACGAUGAUGCGUAGCCGGCCUGAGAGGGUGAACGGCCACAUUGGGACUGAGACACGGCCCAGACUCCUACGGGAGGCAGCAGUAGGGAAUUUUCGGCAAUGGGGGCAACCCUGACCGAGCAACGCCGCGUGAGUGAAGACGGCCUUCGGGUUGUAAAGCUCUGUUGUAAGGGAAGAACGGUAGAUAGAGAAUAUCUAAGUGACGGUACCUUACCAGAAAGCCACGGCUAACUACGUGCCAGCAGCCGCGGUAAUACGUAGGUGGCGAGCGUUAUCCGGAAUUAUUGGGCGUAAAGGGUGCGUAGGCGGCCUGUUAAGUAAGUGGUUAAAUUGUUGGGCUCAACCCAAUCCAGCCACUUAAACUGGCAGGCUAGAGUAUUGGAGAGGCAAGUGGAAUUCCAUGUGUAGCGGUAAAAUGCGUAGAUAUAUGGAGGAACACCAGUGGCGAAGGCGGCUUGCUAGCCAAAGACUGACGCUCAUGCACGAAAGCGUGGGGAGCAAAUAGG
Molecule: ribosomal RNA, 754 nt
Filed under: uncultured Bulleidia sp.
Lineage: Bacteria; Bacillati; Bacillota; Erysipelotrichia; Erysipelotrichales; Erysipelotrichaceae
Description: bacterial SSU rRNA
Rfam family: Bacterial small subunit ribosomal RNA
Source: RNAcentral